AACAAUACCCCGUUAUAGGAAAUGGGUGGAAGAGGCUUGCAUCCAGUCAAAGGGGACCAAGACUUCACUGCAUACACACCAUAUCAUCUCAGGGACACUCCACUGGGUGGGAAUUGAAAGAUGAGAGUUCUCCUCUUUACUCUGAGCCUUCUGGGAGCGGGCCUGUCUCUUCCAAUCUCCUUUCCUGGAGCUUUGAGUGCUGAAGACAUUCUCAAGCUCAUGACACGGACCACUGCCGUCAACAACAGUCCGGACCCAAUUUACAAAGUCGUCUUGAACCCCUAUCCCAACCCAAAUAACAGAUAUAACGUGAACCCCUAUCAAAAUCCAACCUAUGGAUUGAACGUGAACCCCUAUCAAAAUCCAACCUAUGGAUU
This is a long non-coding RNA of Engraulis encrasicolus (European anchovy), 377 nucleotides long. RefSeq lists it as uncharacterized. The record is from RefSeq and is a predicted model, not a curated record. The transcript has 4 exons. Lineage: Eukaryota; Metazoa; Chordata; Actinopteri; Clupeiformes; Engraulidae.